Molecule: small RNA, 265 nt
Filed under: Pongo abelii (Sumatran orangutan)
Lineage: Eukaryota; Metazoa; Chordata; Mammalia; Primates; Hominidae
Source: RNAcentral
GCCGGGCGUGGUGGCAGGUGCCUGUAGUCCCAGCUACUCGGGAGGCUGAGGCAGGAGAAUGGCGUGAACCUGGGAGGCGGAGCUUGCAGUGAGCUGAGAUCGUGCCACUGCAGUCCAGCCUGGGUGACAGAGCGAGACUCCAUCUCAAAAAAAAAAAAAUUUUGAGAUGGAGUUUUGCUCUUGUUGCCCAGGCUGGAGUGCAAUGGCGCGAUCUCGGGCUCACUGCCAACUCUACCUCCCGGGUUCAAGCGAUUCUCCUGCCUCA